Schistosoma mattheei is the source of this 46-nucleotide non-coding RNA. The record is from Rfam. Lineage: Eukaryota; Metazoa; Platyhelminthes; Trematoda; Strigeidida; Schistosomatidae.
GCACUGCUGAGGAGUUCCAUACUAGAACGAAAUGGCCAUCCAGUGC